CAUCUCGACUGAGCUAAAUGUGAUUUGACUCACCCAGAGAACCUUGAGAAGGUUUUUCUAAGUCUGACUGGAGCCAGUCCAGCUUAGAAGAGUUUUGUCUUAAUUCAUGAGAUGAAUUUAAGAUAACACCCGUCAAUUCCUAUCACCUGCCAUUUUCGUUUUAGGACAUCGAUCAAACGUUGACUUAUGGAUCUUGAACUAAAAGUCACUUGGC
RNAcentral lists this long non-coding RNA (214 nucleotides) under Elaeis guineensis (African oil palm). RNAcentral's name for it is "long non-coding RNA (EGUI_LNC067162)". The record is from RNAcentral. Lineage: Eukaryota; Viridiplantae; Streptophyta; Magnoliopsida; Arecales; Arecaceae.